Gasterosteus aculeatus aculeatus (three-spined stickleback) is the source of this 295-nucleotide long non-coding RNA. The record is from Ensembl. Lineage: Eukaryota; Metazoa; Chordata; Actinopteri; Perciformes; Gasterosteidae.
GAUCUGCAAGUAACGGCCAAUCCCUUUUAUUCACAUAUUACUGUGCAGACAGCGGUCGGAGAUACUGCCAACCACACAACCAGACACCACACGCGUACGCACACUGGGCCUGUGUGACUUGUGCGCUGCUCCACUCGUGUGUGUUAAUUCGCUCCCCAUGAGGCGCUGCAGGCUGUGGUAAUUAUAGAAGCUCGGCUAGCAGACUCAUCACAAGAGAGAAGUACAUUUAAAGCCACGUGCAGCUGCGCGAAUACACCUGUAGCCACGAGACAAGAAACCACCACCUAAAUUCCUC